Molecule: transfer RNA, 64 nt
Filed under: Branchinella kugenumaensis
Lineage: Eukaryota; Metazoa; Arthropoda; Branchiopoda; Anostraca; Thamnocephalidae
Description: tRNA-Thr
Source: RNAcentral
GACUAAGUAAUUAAAUUAUAAUAGUGGUCUUGUAAGCCGAAAUUAGGGUAAUCUCUCUUAGUCU